Molecule: ribosomal RNA, 467 nt
Filed under: uncultured bacterium
Lineage: Bacteria
Description: partial 16S ribosomal RNA
Rfam family: Bacterial small subunit ribosomal RNA
Source: RNAcentral
GACGAACGCUGGCGGCGUGCUUAACACAUGCAAGUCGAACGGAAAGGCCCUGCUUUUGUGGGGUGCUCGAGUGGCGAACGGUGAGUAACACGUGAGUAACCUGCCCUUGACUUUGGGAUAACUUCAGGAAACUGGGGCUAAUACCGGAUAGGAGCUCCUGCUGCAUGGUGGGGGUUGGAAAGUUUCGGCGGUUGGGGAUGGACUCGCGGCUUAUCAGCUUGUUGGUGGGGUAGUGGCUUACCAAGGCUUUGACGGGUAGCCGGCCUGAGAGGGUGACCGGCCACAUUGGGACUGAGAUACGGCCCAGACUGCUACGGGAGGCAGCAGUGGGGAAUAUUGCACAGUGGGCGGAAGCCUGAUGCAGCAACGCCGCGUGCGGGAUGACGGCCUUCGGGUUGUAAACCGCUUUCGCCUGUGACGAAGCGUGAGUGACGGUAAUGGGUAAAGAAGCACCGGCUAACUACGUG